RNAcentral lists this ribosomal RNA (239 nucleotides) under uncultured bacterium. RNAcentral describes it as "partial 16S ribosomal RNA". It matches the Rfam family "Bacterial small subunit ribosomal RNA", at positions 524 to 759 of the family's 1533-position model. The record is from RNAcentral.
UACAGAGGAUGCAAGCGUUAUCCGGAAUGAUUGGGCGUAAAGCGUCUGUAGGUGGCUUUUAAGUCCGCCGUCAAAUCCCAGGGCUCAACUCUGGACAGGCGGUGGAAACUACCAAGCUGGAGUACGGUAGGGGCAGAGGGAAUUUCCGGUGGAGCGGGUGAAAUGCGUAGAGAUCGGAAAAGAACACCAACGGCGAAAAGCAACUCUGCUGGGCCGACACUGACACUGAGAGACGAAAG